AGCAAUAACAAAUAACCCCAACCAGCAAUACGGAGCAGUAGCGCCUGUAGCUUCCUUCACCUCGGGCAGCAAAACAGAGAAAAAAACAGAGCAACACACUUCUUCUCUCCUAACAGGUAGCAGACAGCAGCAGCCAGCCUUCUCCCUGUCUUUUUCCAGAACAAAAGCCACGCACUAGGCUCUUUUUCUUCCAGAACACAAACUCCACCCGGAACUAGGCUGAGCAACCAACCUCACGCAGCAGCAGUACCACCGUGAGCGUCGCCUCCUCGCGCGUCCGUACGCGAGCACGCCGCCUCCUCCCACGUCCGCACGCGAGCGCAGCACGCCCGCACAGUGUUCUUCCUCGCGCACCGCUUCGCAGGCCGUUCGCUGGCCUUCACGCGCCGCCCCGCAGGCCGCUCCCGGCCUUCGCGUGCCGUCCUGCGCAGGCUCGCGUGCCGCCCUGCGCAGGCCCGCUCCCACGUGGACCGCACCUCCCGUGCGUGCACAGGCCCGCGCGACCUGCGCCCUCCAGCUCGCCGCGCAGAAGGCUCAGGCGACCGCGCCGCCCCGGCCGCUACGCGAAACCCUAACACCAGCACCGGCUCCGAAUACCAUGUUGUAAUUUUGGGGAAGCUCUGUCUGGUAGUCUCCAGAACAGAGGGGCUCUCUAUUUCUUCCUCUUACAUUUACAUAUAGGACCCUUUACAAUUUAUUAUUUACACCAACA
This 712-nucleotide long non-coding RNA is filed under the name Sorghum bicolor (sorghum). Its description in RNAcentral is "long non-coding RNA (SBIC_LNC004188)". The record is from RNAcentral. Lineage: Eukaryota; Viridiplantae; Streptophyta; Magnoliopsida; Poales; Poaceae.